UGGGGAAUCUUGGACAAUGGGGGCAACCCUGAUCCAGCCAUGCCGCGUGAGUGAUGAAGGCCUUAGGGUCGUAAAGCUCUUUCGCCUGUGAAGAUAAUGACGGUAGCAGGUAAAGAAACCCCGGCUAACUCCGUGCCAGCAGCCGCGGUAAUACGGAGGGGGUUAGCGUUGUUCGGAAUUACUGGGCGUAAAGCGCACGUAGGCGGACCAGAAAGUUGGGGGUGAAAUCCCGGGGGCUCAACCCCGGAACUGCCUCCAAAACUAUUGGUCUAGAGUUCGAGAGAGGUGAGUGGAAUUCCAAGUGUAGAGGUGAAAUUCGUAGAUAUUUGGAGGAACACCAGUGGCGAAGGCGGCUCACUGGCUCGAUACUGACGCUGAGGUGCGAAAGUGUGGGGAGCAAACAGGAUUAGAUACCCUGGUAGUCCACACCGUAAAACGAUGAAUGCCAGUCGUCGGGUAGCAUGCUAUUCGGUGACACACCUAACGGAUUAAGCAC
RNAcentral lists this ribosomal RNA (496 nucleotides) under uncultured bacterium. RNAcentral's name for it is "bacterial SSU rRNA". It matches the Rfam family "Bacterial small subunit ribosomal RNA", at positions 355 to 867 of the family's 1533-position model. The record is from RNAcentral.